Non-coding RNA from Microcebus murinus (gray mouse lemur), 1593 nucleotides. The record is from RefSeq and is a predicted model, not a curated record. NCBI's taxonomy places the organism in Eukaryota, Metazoa, Chordata, Mammalia, Primates, Cheirogaleidae.
GGCCACUUUUUACUCUCCCCGAGCCGUGUUCUUGGCAUGACCUUCUGAUGACGCCUUUCCGGACACAGCAAGGGAGCCCCAAAGCCAUCUGAACGCCGUCUCUCACUCACCCUGCUCCCGCAACUUGGGGUGCAGGGGGCCCGAGGGGAAGCCUGUGGGGGCCAGGGGGUCUGAGCCCUUUGUCCCGCACCCCGGAGCCUUGGCUGCUCUGCCAGCGCUGCAGGAAUCGGGGGGAAAUGUGGAGAAGUGACAGUUACAGACGCCAGGCAGCGAUGUAAUUGGCUGCAACUGGAGAGCGGGCUGUCAAACAUCUGCCCUCGAGCCACGGCCUGGAAGCCACUUUCGGCUCAUGAGCUCCACCUGGACUAGCAGCGUGGGGCCCUUCACCAGGACGGAAAGCACACGGGGGUCUGUCACGGAUUCGGGGUUUGGACGCCGGUUACAGGUGAGAAGAGACAGGAGCCGAGAGCCAGGAGGCAGGGAGACCAGCGAGGACGCCUUGAAACACGGCCCAACGCCACGUAGUGGCUUGCGUUGGACCGUCUGUGUUUUCCAAGACAGCUCGGACAAGGAUGGGCUGCGACACGCUUUGUUAUCCGGCAUGCACUGAUGUACCUGGAGACAGGUAGCGGCAGCAAGGGCCCCUGAGCACCCCUUUGCAAGGGAGCUGGGGACCUCGGCAGGGAGCAGACAGAGGGCAUCCACCCCCCCACCAAGGACUGGUGGGGCCGCCUGGGCGAUGCGCAAACCUCCCCUCUCCCGCAGUGUGUGCUCGGGUCUGCCCCUGGCCGCUGCGCAAACUGGCACCGAGGGCUGCUCCUGGCGAGCGCAGGUAUCUGCUGACACAUUCCAGGUGGCCUCUAAGCCAAUGCGGGUAUAACCCAGCUUCCACCACCACCAAGACAGGCCGUGGAAGGCGCUGGCGCCCCCACCCCUCUGUGGCCGUGGGACGGUGUUGCCACCAGAGCCAUCCUGGGUCUAUUUCACGCGCACAGGAGGAGAAAGAGCAUCCCGGGGCCAGGGCGCGGGGCGCGGGCCGGUCCACUCGCCUGGGGUCCCCGUGCGUCUGACUCCGUGCUGGGUGCUGAGGAUUCACGGUGGCGGGCGCUACCGCAGGCUCUGAGCUGGGCAAACGGGUCAGACUUAGACCUUCCAUAGAUGACUCCGGCAGUCGGGGCGUGACGGAGGAUUAAUGCCAAAGGCUCAAAGUUUGGGACCCGGACUCAGACGUGGGUGGGUAUUAGGAACAGAAAAGGGGCAAAGGUCCAAGAAACAUUGAGAAGACGCAACUGGCCAGACUGGGCGCUGAACUCAACGUGGAGUUGGGGGGCCGGGCACGUGUCUCCCAGAUGUGGGUGCUCAUCUCCAGGUAAGAGGAAGCACAGGUGGCCUCGGACAGACCCCACAGGUAGAAGCAACAUCCUCCGAGGCUGCCUCCCUGGGCCCCAGCAGCCUCUCGGCCGCCCCCCAGCUUCCUGCUUACCCCUCCCGGGCAGUCAGGUCAGCCCGGGGCAGGGGGGUGACUCCGGGCUGCCCCAGGGAGAAGGUCAAACCCGGCUAAGUAACUAAAUAAAGAUGUGAUUGCAACGCUGA